UACGAAGGAUCCAAGCGUUGUCCGGAUUUACUGGGUUUAAAGGGUGCGUAGGCGGACUUUUUAAGUCAGUGGUGAAAGCUCGCAGCUUAACUGUGAAAUUGCCAUUGAAACUGAAAGUCUCGAGUGUGGUUGAGGUAACUGGAAUAUAUCAUGUAGCGGUGAAAUGCUUAGAUAUGAUAUAGAACACCAAUUGCGAAGGCAGGUUACUGAGCCACAACUGACGCUGAGGCACGAAAAGCGUGGGGAUCAAACAGG
RNAcentral lists this ribosomal RNA (255 nucleotides) under uncultured bacterium. RNAcentral describes it as "partial 16S ribosomal RNA". It matches the Rfam family "Bacterial small subunit ribosomal RNA", at positions 524 to 776 of the family's 1533-position model. The record is from RNAcentral.